UACGUAGGGUGCAAGCGUUGUCCGGAAUUAUUGGGCGUAAAGAGCUUGUAGGCGGUUUGUCGCGUCUGCUGUGAAAUUUCGGGGCUCAACCCCGAACUUGCAGUGGGUACGGGCAGACUAGAGUGUGGUAGGGGAGACUGGAAUUCCUGGUGUAGCGGUGAAAUGCGCAGAUAUCGGAAGGAACACCGGUGGCGAAGGCGGCAUGCUGGACCUCAACUGACGCUGAGGCGCGAAAGCCAGGGGAGCAAACGGG
RNAcentral lists this ribosomal RNA (253 nucleotides) under uncultured bacterium. RNAcentral describes it as "partial 16S ribosomal RNA". It matches the Rfam family "Bacterial small subunit ribosomal RNA", at positions 524 to 776 of the family's 1533-position model. The record is from RNAcentral.